UGGGGUGUAGCCAAGCGGUAAGGCAGCGGAUUUUGAUUCCGCCAUGCGGAGGUUCGAAUCCUCCCACCCCAG
Molecule: transfer RNA, 72 nt
Organism: Gluconobacter oxydans 621H
Lineage: Bacteria; Pseudomonadati; Pseudomonadota; Alphaproteobacteria; Acetobacterales; Acetobacteraceae
Rfam family: tRNA
About the family: Transfer RNA (tRNA) molecules are approximately 80 nucleotides in length. Their secondary structure includes four short double-helical elements and three loops (D, anti-codon, and T loops).
Source: Rfam